Myiozetetes cayanensis is the source of this 1270-nucleotide long non-coding RNA. RefSeq lists it as uncharacterized. The transcript is spliced from 3 exons. NCBI's taxonomy places the organism in Eukaryota, Metazoa, Chordata, Aves, Passeriformes, Tyrannidae. The record is from RefSeq and is a predicted model, not a curated record.
ACCUGUGGAUCCCCCACACGAGCAGGCAAAGACAGGACCCUGCGUCAGAGACUGUCAUAAACCCUGAAUUGAGGUGCUCCCAGGCUGCCCCAUCCUGUGCCGCUUUCAAGCUGGCCGUGAGCAGCCGGGCUGGGCUCAAGAUGCACAAGACAAGCUGCACACCUGGAUGAGCACACCUUUAUUUUUAGUUCCAGAAAUACACAUCUAAGAGGUCCGGACCUCACCUGGACGUGUCACCUACGCCACCGCUCCUUGCAGCUGCCCCUCUCUGCCUGCGCUGGAACGUUCCCUCUGCACGCUGGUGCGAGGCCGUUAGAGGGCAUUUGGGUUUCAUUUUCCAUCGCCCCAAGGGUUCCUGCUGAGGGAAAGCACAGCCAGAGCAGCUCUCCUGCGCUGACUCCUGCACAGCUGGAGCAGCCCCAGCCCGUCGAGAGGCGGCUCCCACUCAUCUCGGCGAUUUUGUUUUCCCUUUCUUCCCCUGCUUUUCCUUUGGCCUGGGCUCGCAGGGAAUGUGCUUGGAUGGCGGGCGGUAUGUCUGGUGCCGCGGGACGGUGUCUCCGUCUGAGCUCCUCGCUCGCCGCAGCCCUGCCAGACCGCCAGCGCCUGGGAGAGGAGGAGGCCAGGAGGAGAGCGGGAAGGCUCGUGUUUGCUCUGGAGGGGUGCAGGGAAGGUGAAUUACAGCUGCCAGCAGGAGGGCCCUGCCCGUGCCCAGGAAGGAGCUGCUGGUGGCGGGUCCUUUCAGAGCAGAGCUGCACGAUGUGGUGGAGGAGCAGCAUCACCUUUCCAGGAGCUCCACUGAUCCAGGAGAAGAGUGAUUCCUGGCUUCUUGGGUGGGUUCAUGCUUGGGGCAGGGUUUUCCCAUUUCCCAUUUCAUUCAGCCUAAGAAAUUCGGGAAUGCUGCCCACCAAUCCUGCCUGGGGCAGCUGGGUGCACAGAGGAGGCAAGUGCCAAGUGAGAGGGGGGUCUUGUUCUCUAUUUCCAGCCUCCUUUGCAGCCAAAGUCCAUCAGUUCUUCUCUAGUUUCCUGAUGGAAACUUCUCUAGUUUCUCCAUCUUCACCAAAACCACAAUGCCAUAGGUUUGUGCCAGACUCUUUGCCGGGAUGAGGCAUUGGCUCCGGGAUGAAACCAGGGUGGGCACAGCUACAAACGACCUCCUCUUGCCCUCUGGAAAGGCACAGUGGAGAAUGAUGGGGAGAUAGAGCAGGAUGUGGUGUGUUCUCUACGUCUGGGGAGCAGGGGCGUGUGGCAGCAAGGCUGGGUUACACCAUGU